RNAcentral lists this long non-coding RNA (258 nucleotides) under Erythranthe guttata (spotted monkey flower). RNAcentral describes it as "long non-coding RNA (EGUT_LNC000451)". Lineage: Eukaryota; Viridiplantae; Streptophyta; Magnoliopsida; Lamiales; Phrymaceae. The record is from RNAcentral.
CUCGCUCCUCUCGCUCCAAGGUUGUAUCCAAAGUCUUCUAAUUCGUGCUUGGUUUGGGCUUAAAUAGAUGUCCCAACUUGGUAGAUGAUUUUAUGUUUCCUUGUGUGAUUAAAAGUCCAAAAUUGUCUCCAGCGUGUGUUGGCACGGCCGCGCGAAAAUCAGUGCAAUUCUCACACGGCCGCGCGAGAAUCGCCGAAACCUUCUGCCCAAUUUCUGCUAUUGGCACGGCCGUCCCAUUUUUAGGUGUAAAUUUGGGAC